RNAcentral lists this ribosomal RNA (253 nucleotides) under uncultured prokaryote. RNAcentral's name for it is "partial 16S ribosomal RNA". It matches the Rfam family "Bacterial small subunit ribosomal RNA", at positions 525 to 777 of the family's 1533-position model. The record is from RNAcentral.
ACGUAGGGACCAAGCGUUGUUCGGAUUUACUGGGCGUAAAGGGCGCGUAGGCGGCGCGGUAAGUCACUUGUGAAAUCUCUGAGCUUAACUCAGAACGGCCAAGUGAUACUGCAGUGCUAGAGUGCGGAAGGGGCAACUGGAAUUCUCGGUGUAGCGGUGAAAUGCGUAGAUAUCGAGAGGAACACCUGCGGCGAAGGCGGGUUGCUGGGCCGACACUGACGCUGAUGCGCGAAAGCCAGGGGAGCGAACGGGA